UAUCCCAUGGCCGAUUUCUUGCGAAAUCUCCUAACUUUUAAAUAUUUCCGAUCAAAAGACUGCUGCUCAAACGGAGCCCACCGGGAGCGUGUUUGCAAAUUCUGGAGUAAACAAGAGCGGGAAGCUGAUAAGGUCACUCGGCUAUUUACUUCCUUCCCCGGCUCCUCAGCGUCCUCCACAGUCCUACAACUUCCGCUUGCCUCGUUGUCUGGGAAACCGCCGACUUCCGGUCGCGCAGUGGUGGGCUGAGCCAAGAUGGCUGAGAGAACUCAAUUUCCUGCAUCUACUGAGUCUCAAAAACCCCAGCAGAAAAAAGUCCUCCUCCAACUCCUCCCCUCUGCAUGCGCCUCAGAGCCGGUACCAAGAACUGGAAGUAGCCCUGGACUCAAGCUCCGCAAC
This is a non-coding RNA of Macaca mulatta (Rhesus monkey), 399 nucleotides long. The record is from RefSeq and is a predicted model, not a curated record. NCBI's taxonomy places the organism in Eukaryota, Metazoa, Chordata, Mammalia, Primates, Cercopithecidae.